RNAcentral lists this long non-coding RNA (521 nucleotides) under Amphimedon queenslandica. RNAcentral's name for it is "uncharacterized LOC109593672, transcript variant X1". The record is from RNAcentral. Lineage: Eukaryota; Metazoa; Porifera; Demospongiae; Haplosclerida; Niphatidae.
GCAAAUUUGCUGUUCAUUGACAUUAUUACUUAAUGGCACUUCCUUUUUGUCACAGUCACAUGCAAUUCACCACAACACUUCUCACUUUUUCAAAUACUCUUGUCUCCUCUCUCUCUCUCUCUCUCUCAUUACAGAUGCUCUCAUUAGCUCUUGUUGUUCACAGAGACUCGUGUCAGGAAUGACACAUGAGUGAUAUGCAUUGGGUUGGAUUUGGUGACUGUUAUUUUGGAGUGUGGCGUGAAGAGUCUUGGGGACAUUAAAUCACUGAGAGUUCUCAUGCAAGACGGACUCUGCCAUCACUUACUUACUGUAAAUGAGCAACUUUACGAAAACGAAUCUGUUGAUGUUUUUGGUCGCUCUUUGACAAAGUGCUUUCUUCUUUUUGAUUCAAAUUGUCAUCAUCUCAAACUACAGCUGGAGUGGUUCCUUAAUAAGCUAAUGCACACAAUACAAUUAGAUCAGUCAAGACUUCAAGCAGGCAGACAAGAGCUAACAUUAGAAUGUCUCAAUUCAAGUAAGAA